Molecule: small RNA, 571 nt
Filed under: Pongo abelii (Sumatran orangutan)
Lineage: Eukaryota; Metazoa; Chordata; Mammalia; Primates; Hominidae
Description: retained intron
Source: RNAcentral
ACAGCCAACCGGCUCCCACAUAUCUGCAUGCACUUAAAUACAAAGGCAGGGAAGGGUCAGACCACCAUCUGGGUACUCUAAGGUACAUAAAAGAGGUGGGGGAAAGAGAGGAUCAUUCAGUAGUCCUCCCUCCCCCUCCUCUUUCACCCCCAAGUGUCUCCCUCGACUGCCCUCCCCCACCUCUAGCUGACCAUGGCUUCAGAGGCAGAGAAAACAUUCCAUCGGUUUGCUGCCUUUGGAGAAUCAUCAAGCAGUGGCACUGAAAUGAACAACAAGAACUUCUCCAAGCUGUGCAAAGACUGUGGCAUCAUGGAUGGCAAGACAGUCACCUCCACGGAUGUGGACAUCGUGUUCAGCAAAGUCAAGUGAGGAGCCAAAGAUAUGGGGGUGGGGGUGAGAAGAACCUGUGAGGUAGUUGGCCACGGAAGGGUUCAUGUGGUGGAACAUUUGCAGUGGGCCUACCAAGCACCACAGGGUACCUGGUGCUGUAUUAUUCUUUGUCUUCAAGACACUCACUGAUAGGACAAAAGAGGCCAAAUCUGAGUGAGGCAAGAGUUGGACUUUGGAAGGU